This 117-nucleotide ribosomal RNA is filed under the name Pteropus alecto (black flying fox). Lineage: Eukaryota; Metazoa; Chordata; Mammalia; Chiroptera; Pteropodidae. The record is from RNAcentral.
AUAAAUAAAUAAACACCUGAACACACCCGAUCCCAUCUGAUCUUGGAAGCUAAGCAGGGUCAGGCCUGGUUAGUACUUGGAGGGGAGACCACCUAGGAAGACCAGGUGCUGUAGACU